GACGAACGCUGGCGGCGUGCAUAACACAUGCAAGUCAAGGGGGCCAGCAAUGGCAACCGGCGAACGGGUGCGUAACACGUGAGCAAUCUGCCUCUGUAUGGGGCAUAGCCGGCCUAACGGCCGGGUAAUUCCGCAUACGAUCUUUUAGGGACAUCCCUGAUUGAUGAAACGCUUCGGCGGUACAGAGAGGAGCUCGCGGCCUAUCAGCUAGUUGGUGAGGGAAUGGCCCACCAAGGCAACGACGGGUAGCUGGUCUGAGAGGAUGGCCAGCCACAUUGGGACUGAGAUACGGCCCAGACUCCUACGGGAGGCAGCAGUGGGGAAUCUUGCGCAAUGGCCUAACGGCUGACGCAGCGACGCCGCGUGAGGGAUGAAGCUUUCGGAGUGUAAACCUCUGUUGCCCGGGACGAAUAGCGGAUUAUUCCGACUUGACGGUACCGGGUGAGGAAGCACCGGCUAACUCCGU
This 466-nucleotide ribosomal RNA is filed under the name uncultured bacterium. RNAcentral's name for it is "bacterial SSU rRNA". It matches the Rfam family "Bacterial small subunit ribosomal RNA", at positions 28 to 506 of the family's 1533-position model. The record is from RNAcentral.